This 497-nucleotide ribosomal RNA is filed under the name uncultured bacterium. RNAcentral's name for it is "partial 16S ribosomal RNA". It matches the Rfam family "Bacterial small subunit ribosomal RNA", at positions 28 to 507 of the family's 1533-position model. The record is from RNAcentral.
GAUGAACGCUGGCGGCGUGCCUAAUACAUGCAAGUCGAGCGAACAGAUAAGGAGCUUGCUCCUUUGAAGUUAGCGGCGGACGGGUGAGUAACACGUGGGUAACCUACCUAUAAGACUGGGAUAACUUCGGGAAACCGGAGCUAAUACCGGAUAACAUUUAGAACCGCAUGGUUCUAAAGUGAAAGAUGGUUUUGCUAUCACUUAUAGAUGGACCCGCGCCGUAUUAGCUAGUUGGUAAGGUAACGGCUUACCAAGGCGACGAUACGUAGCCGACCUGAGAGGGUGAUCGGCCACACUGGAACUGAGACACGGUCCAGACUCCUACGGGAGGCAGCAGUAGGGAAUCUUCCGCAAUGGGCGAAAGCCUGACGGAGCAACGCCGCGUGAGUAAUGAGGGGUUUCGGCUCGUAAAACUCUGUUAUUAGGGAAGAACAAAUGUGUAAGUAACUGUGCACAUCUUGACGGUACCUAAUCAGAAAGCCAGGGCUAACUACGUG